This 546-nucleotide ribosomal RNA is filed under the name uncultured bacterium. Its description in RNAcentral is "bacterial SSU rRNA". It matches the Rfam family "Bacterial small subunit ribosomal RNA", at positions 279 to 842 of the family's 1533-position model. The record is from RNAcentral.
AUCAGUAGCCGACCUGAGAGGGUGACCGGCCACAUUGGGACUGAGACACGGCCCAAACUCCUACGGGAGGCAGCAGUGGGGAAUAUUGCACAAUGGGGGGAACCCUGAUGCAGCAACGCCGCGUGAAGGAAGACGGUUUUCGGAUUGUAAACUUCUAUCAAUAGGGAAGAAAGAAAUGACGGUACCUAAAUAAGAAGCCCCGGCUAACUACGUGCCAGCAGCCGCGGUAAUACGUAGGGGGCAAGCGUUAUCCGGAAUUACUGGGUGUAAAGGGAGAGUAGGCGGCAAGGUAAGCGAUAUGUGAAAGCCUUAGGCUUAACCUGAGGAUUGCAUAACGAACUAUCUAGCUAGAGUACAGGAGAGGAAAGCGGAAUUCCUAGUGUAGCGGUGAAAUGCGUAGAUAUUAGGAAGAACACCAGUGGCGAAGGCGGCUUUCUGGACUGAAACUGACGCUGAGGCUCGAAAGCGUGGGGAGCGAACAGGAUUAGAUACCCUGGUAGUCCACGCUGUAAACGAUGAGUGCUAGGUGUCGGGGAGGAAUCCUCG